GACGAACGCUGGCGGCGUGCUUAACACAUGCAAGUCGAACGGAAAGGCCCUGCUUUUGUGGGGUGCUCGAGUGGCGAACGGGUGAGUAACACGUGAGUAACCUGCCCUUGACUUUGGGAUAACUUCAGGAAACUGGGGCUAAUACCGGAUAGGAGCUCCUGCUGCAUGGCGGGGGUUGGAAAGUUUCGGCGGUUGGGGAUGGACUCGCGGCUUAUCAGCUUGUUGGUGGGGUAGUGGCUUACCAAGGCUUUGACGGGUAGCCGGCCUGAGAGGGUGACCGGCCACAUUGGGACUGAGAUACGGCGCAGACUCCUACGGGAGGCAGCAGUGGGGAAUAUUGCACAAUGGGCGGAAGCCUGAUGCAGCAACGCCGCGUGCGGGAUGACGGCCUUCGGGUUGUAAACCGCUUUCGCCUGUGACGAAGCGUGAGUGACGGUAAUGGGUAAAGAAGCACCGGCUAACUACGUG
This 468-nucleotide ribosomal RNA is filed under the name uncultured bacterium. RNAcentral describes it as "partial 16S ribosomal RNA". It matches the Rfam family "Bacterial small subunit ribosomal RNA", at positions 28 to 507 of the family's 1533-position model. The record is from RNAcentral.